Molecule: ribosomal RNA, 497 nt
Filed under: uncultured bacterium
Lineage: Bacteria
Description: partial 16S ribosomal RNA
Rfam family: Bacterial small subunit ribosomal RNA
Source: RNAcentral
GAUGAACGCUGGCGGCGUGCCUAAUACAUGCAAGUCGAGCGAACGGACGAGAAGCUUGCUUCUCUGAUGUUAGCGGCGGACGGGUGAGUAACACGUGGAUAACCUACCUAUAAGACUGGGAUAACUUCGGGAAACCGGAGCUAAUACCGGAUAAUAUUUUGAACCGCAUGGUUCAAAAGUGAAAGACGGUCUUGCUGUCACUUAUAGAUGGAUCCGCGCUGCAUUAGCUAGUUGGUAAGGUAACGGCUUGCCAAGGCAACGAUGCAUAGCCGACCUGAGAGGGUGAUCGGCCACACUGGAACUGAGACACGGUCCAGACUCCUACGGGAGGCAGCAGUAGGGAAUCUUCCGCAAUGGGCGAAAGCCUGACGGAGCAACGCCGCGUGAGUGAUGAAGGUCUUCGGAUCGUAAAACUCUGUUACUAGGGAAGAACAUAUGUGUAAGUAACUGUGCACAUCUUGACGGUACCUAAUCAGAAAGCCACGGCUAACUACGUG